AAUUGCUAGUAAUCGCAGAUCAGCAUGCUGCGGUGAAUACGUUCCCGGGCCUUGUACACACCGCCCGUCACACCAUGAGAGUCGAUAACACCCGAAGCCUGUAGUCUAACCAUAAGGGGACGCAGUCGAAGGUGGGAUUGAUAAUUAGGGUGAAGUCGUAACAAGGUACC
This 170-nucleotide ribosomal RNA is filed under the name uncultured bacterium. RNAcentral's name for it is "partial 16S ribosomal RNA". It matches the Rfam family "Bacterial small subunit ribosomal RNA", at positions 1330 to 1500 of the family's 1533-position model. The record is from RNAcentral.